UUGAUUACAAUUUGCGUACCAGAUUAAAAAAGACCAACUGGGGCUAUAUUUACUUCAGUUAGAUUCAUUAAGGCUCCAUUGCAGCAAGACCCUUUUUUGCUACCGUAAGAAAGUAAGGUGAACUCUGUUUCUUACUACAGAUAAAGAUGUGGUGCUUGUUGCCAUUUGCAUAACUAUGUUACAAAAAAUCUAGAACUGACCCAAAGUGACUGUUUUUAUCUGAAACCCAGCCGUUGACUCAACUUAGAAAGUAAAUGUGAUGUUUGAUAUAUACGUUCAUUUGUUGGUUAACAGGUGCUUUAGCUAACUGUUGUCACUGUAGAUUAUACAUUAUAAAUACAAGUGUAGUGUUUGAUUAAAUUAUAUACUAGCUGCACAUCUGCUCCAAUGUUCUUUUUCCCCUCUAUUUCUCCUUUCCCCUUAAACUAGCUCCCUUAUCUGUCUUUUUGUUAUAAGGUGGUGACAUGUUCAAAGGUGGAUUCAAAAAUUUGAGUAUAUGGGUUCUAUAUUCUAGAAAAGAGAACUUACUAGGUCUUGGAUGAAUUAUUUAUACAUAUUGAAUGGUUUUCUCAACACAAAUAUAGAGUUCUUGGUCAAAGCUAUUGAUAUUUGCUGAACCCAUAGCCUUUAGCUCAAGCUUCACCCCUUAAUAUGUGAUUCUACUAAUAUAACUACUUAGAGUAGGAAAAAAAGGAUUAAGGUAUGGUCAUAGGAAUAACAAUCCAAUUCUCUAUAUUAAUAUUUGUCUCUAGUUUCCCAAUCUUCCUUUCUUUCAUUUGUACUGCACAUAUAAUUAGGUCUCUUUGGAGAAAAGUAAAGAGAAUUGUCACUAACUCUAGUUCUUAACUUACUGAUAAAAUUGAACAACAAGAACAAAGAAGGUUAUUCGAGUUUCGAUAGUGAUCAGGGAUACUAAAGUAUGUUUGGUCAGUGUUGAGGUUAGAUUGAUCGGUUCUCCAAAAAAUGAUUUUUAUCAGAUCGAUCAGGUUCAUGUGACAAUGCUCCUAGUCACUAUUUUCUUAGCUGUAAUCUUUGACUGUAGCGACUAUUGAGUGUCAAUUUUUAAAAUACAAGACAAAUUGUGAAUUGGAUUGUUAUUCAUAAGUGUUAUUAGACCCAACAUUCAACACAUAUGGAAAAGUAUGGCAUGAAAAUUUGAAUUGAACUAGGAAUGACUGUUAAAAAGUUGAAUAUUACUUCUUCUGUAACUCUUUUUUUCUCCCCUUCCAUUAAUGAUGUCAUUGAUUUUCAACAAGGAACUUCUUUUGUUAUUAUAAUAAACUGGUUGUUCUUUCUUUUUCAGAUGUCUAGUAAAGAAAAUCAAUUGCAUCAAAAGGUAAUGUUAAUGGACGACGUAAGAAAAGUAAGAAUGGAAUUGAUAAUCUUACUGCAGGUCAAUAUACCGUACCACCACCACAACCACCACCACCUGUUACCACAACUCUUCAACCAACUACUCCAAAUAUUCUUCCCCCUCCUAAAUACACUAUUUCACUACCAAAGGCCUUUUUCAUGCCUCAACCGUCUGACCAGUUCCACACCUCUUCAUUCCAAAAUAGUCUACAUAGUAGCUCUUCAUCUGUGCCGUCGACAUCAUCUGCACCAAGCCUUUCUGGAUUGAGAGUUAGAGGUCCUAACACACCAACAUCGCCAUCCAUGGACAGUGCCACAACACCUAGUGCUGCAUCAGCUGCUUCUCAGAAUUUGUAAUUUAAAGAUGUAUUAGAAUGUGACGAUGUUGGGAGGCUACAAAUCGUCCCUUAUCAUGAUGGGUAAGUAACACUUAAGUUUUCCUUAAUUUUUAAAAGCUAAGAUGAUGGUUUAACAUAAUUUUAUUGCAGGUUCAUUCCACAAUAUGCUCGCGCGCAUAUGGUUAUAGAAGCAAUUAAACCAUUUUUCAAUGAGCCGUG
RNAcentral lists this long non-coding RNA (1910 nucleotides) under Capsicum annuum. RNAcentral describes it as "long non-coding RNA (CANN_LNC005067)". The record is from RNAcentral. Lineage: Eukaryota; Viridiplantae; Streptophyta; Magnoliopsida; Solanales; Solanaceae.